GAAUUUCACUGGGCACUGUUCUAUUGUGAUGGCUUCACUGAGGAGGAUUGUGGGAAGAAAGGGUACCUAGGUGGGUUGGAAUUUCACUGGGCACUGUUCUAUUGUGAUGGCUUCACUGAGAUUGUUGGUCUUCUCUAAACUCCAGGAAUGUUCAGAGCCUUGGGCCCUCACUCCCCUCAGCUGACCAGGCUCCCAGGAGCUUGCCAGUCCCGGGGACGUUCAGGCCAUUUGCUUCAUGCAUGAUACCCACACAUUCUCUCCAAAUCCCUGCUCUCCACAUGGGGAGCAGUGAUUACAUGGUGCUGGUUAAGUGGCUGCAUUUCAAAGUUCAUUUAGUUUCUUCCCCAUUCCAAGAGGCAGGGCUGGGGCCACCAGAAUCUUACGUCUCUGGCUUGGGUUUCAGCUCCCAGCCACUCUCUUUUACAGAGCCCACAAAGCAUGGACGGCCACCCAGCCUUCCCGGUUUACAUGAUCAUGGGGAGAGCCUGUCAAAAGCAACUGCACAGAGCCUGUGCUUAAGAUGGCAGGAUCGCAAGACAGAGCAACUGGAGCAAGUCCUCAUUAAGAAGAGCCGCCCGAUGCAUUUGGACUGCGAUAUGUUACGCCCAUGAGAUUUCAGGGUUAAUUUGUUACCUGGCCGUGGCCUAUCCUCUUCCAGCAGAUACAGAGGCUACUGCAGUUUGCAACUUUGCAGAUACCAGCAGAGGAAGAAAAACAUGGGAGACUGCUGCUAACCUAAUGUGGAAACUUAAACUUCAGCCAAAGGCGGAAUCUUAAUAUGGAGGGGCCUGGCUCUGCAGGGAGGUCACCUGGGCUGGCUGGAUUUCAAUCCAGUUACACAGCAAAAGUUACAACCCAAGCUUUGGCGAUGCUGAGCCUUCUACUCUCAGGGAUUCCAAAGCAUUUGAUAAACUCUUUGUUCCAUUGUUUACUGACUUCCUAGUGCUUGUCUUGUUCUGCAGUUAUUUAUUUUUAUUUAUUAGUUUACUUAUGAUCUACCCCUCUCUCCCAUCUACCCGCAACCUGAAGGUAAGGUGCAGGAAGUUAGGGCCUUUGCUUUGUAUGCCAUUACAUUCCCCCUCCCCAGGGAAGGGGUUAGCAUGAUGGUAGGAACUGUUCCCUCUUGGUGAUGGAUAAGUGACUGGAGCAGAAUCCACUUCUGCUGAGAAGAUCUGGAUGACCACGGAUAAGCAGGAAGGCGUGUGACAUACUGGCAAGUGAGUCAGACAGAAAGAGAGAUGUGGGAUCGAGUCCUGGCAUUGCCCUUUCUAGCUAUUGUGUCCUUGGACAGGUAAUUUAGCUUCCCUGAGUCUGUUUUCUCAUCUGAAAAAUGAAGGUAGUAAUAAUUAUCCUCAUGGGGCUAUUGAAAAAGUUAAAAUAAGAUAAUACAAGCAAAGCAAAGCAUU
Long non-coding RNA from Gorilla gorilla gorilla (western lowland gorilla), 1406 nucleotides. RefSeq lists it as uncharacterized. The record is from RefSeq and is a predicted model, not a curated record. NCBI's taxonomy places the organism in Eukaryota, Metazoa, Chordata, Mammalia, Primates, Hominidae. The transcript is spliced from 3 exons.